AUUGAACGCUGGCGGCAGGCCUAACACAUGCAAGUCGAACGGCAGCGGGGGGAAGCUUGCUUCCCCGCCGGCGAGUGGCGGACGGGUGAGUAAUGCCUGGGGAGCUGCCCAAUCGAGGGGGAUACCAGUUGGAAACGACUGCUAAUACCGCAUACGCCCUGAGGGGGAAAGGUGGGGAUCUUCGGACCUAUCGCGAUUGGAUGCACCCAGGUGGGAUUAGCUAGUUGGUGAGGUAACGGCUCACCAAGGCGACGAUCUCUAGCUGGUCUGAGAGGAUGACCAGCCACACUGGAACUGAGACACGGUCCAGACUCCUACGGGAGGCAGCAGUGGGGAAUAUUGCACAAUGGGGGAAACCCUGAUGCAGCCAUGCCGCGUGUGUGAAGAAGGCCUUCGGGUUGUAAAGCACUUUCAGCGAGGAGGAAAGGGUGGAAGCUAAUACCUUUCAUCUGUGACGUUACUCGCAGAAGAGGCACCGGCUAACUCCGUGCCAGCCGCCGCGGUAA
RNAcentral lists this ribosomal RNA (506 nucleotides) under uncultured bacterium. RNAcentral describes it as "partial 16S ribosomal RNA". It matches the Rfam family "Bacterial small subunit ribosomal RNA", at positions 29 to 523 of the family's 1533-position model. The record is from RNAcentral.